RNAcentral lists this ribosomal RNA (225 nucleotides) under uncultured bacterium. RNAcentral's name for it is "partial 16S ribosomal RNA". It matches the Rfam family "Bacterial small subunit ribosomal RNA", at positions 111 to 334 of the family's 1533-position model. The record is from RNAcentral.
UAACGUGUGGGCAACUUGCCCUAUACUGGGGAAUAAUCACUGGAAACGGUGACUAAUACCGCAUGUCAUUACGGAAGGGCAUCCUUCUGUAAGAAAAGGAGUAAUUCGGUAUAGGAUGGGCCCGCAUCUGAUUAGCUAGUUGGUGAGAUAACAGCCCACCAAGGCGACGAUCAGUAGCCGACCUGAGAGGGUGAUCGGCCACAUUGGGACUGAGACACGGCCCAA